AGCAGUAGCCACGGGAAAACGAAGGGUGCAAGCGUUAAUCGGAAUUACUGGGCGUAAAGCGUGCGUAGGCGGUGAGUUAAGUCUGCUGUGAAAUCCCCGGGCUCAACCUGGGAACUGCACUUGUGGCUGGCAAGCUAGAGUGUGAGAGAGGGUUGUGGAAUUCCCAGUGUAGAGGUGAAAUUCGUAGAUAUUGGGAAGAACACCGGUGGCGAAGGCGGCCAUCUGGGACAACACUGACGCUGAGGCACGAAAGCGUGGGGAGCAAACAGGAUUAGAUACCCCUGUAGUCCCUGUCUCUUAUAC
Molecule: ribosomal RNA, 303 nt
Filed under: uncultured bacterium
Lineage: Bacteria
Description: partial 16S ribosomal RNA
Rfam family: Bacterial small subunit ribosomal RNA
Source: RNAcentral